AAAAUUAAGUAUGAUGUUCUAGAUAUUUUAAUAUAUGAUCUUUAUCACAUUAGGGGAAAUCACUUCUCUUCCUACUUUUCCUGUUUUUUCCUGAGCUAUUUGACACAAUUCACUAGUGAAACCAUGUGCCUAGUAAGUACUAUAUACAUAUCCUUAUUUUUUACUAUUAUUAGUAGUAUUAUUAGUAUCAACACUGGCUCAGUAACUGCUUAUGUCACUUAAUUGUCUCUGGGAUUUAGGUCUUUCAUAACAUAAACCAAGUCAUAUCUUGUGGAGACAGAGUCUCACUUUGUUUUGUCCAGGCUGAUCUCUAACUCCUGGGCUCAAGUGAUCUUCCUGCCUUGGCUUCUCAGAGAUAUUGAUGUUUUUACCUUUUAUUUAUUAUUCUAUUUCUCAGAAAGAUGAAUGAAACAUAAGUGUGGUCUUUAGAGGAAGUUUUGCCUUUCUGCAUAUUUGGUGCUGCUGCAUUCCAGAUGGUUUUCUUGCCUUGCAGAAAAUAACUUUGUAGGCUGCCGUUAUUUGCAUCUGCAAGAUUUUUUCUUUCUUUUUUUAAUGGAAUGGCAAAGGAGAUAAGUUUCUAAUUUGGUCUACUGGUGAUAGUGGUUAGUUAGUUGAAAUC
Molecule: long non-coding RNA, 619 nt
Filed under: Homo sapiens (human)
Lineage: Eukaryota; Metazoa; Chordata; Mammalia; Primates; Hominidae
Description: non-protein coding lnc-LBR-3:1
Source: RNAcentral